AGCGAACGCUAGCGGCGGGCCUAACACAUGCAAGUCGAGCGGGGGAGCAAUCCCCAGCGGCGGACGGGUGAGUAACACGUAGGUUAUGUGCCCUUUGGUGGGGAAUAACCGUGGGAAACCAUGGCUAAUUCCGCAUAUCGAGCGAAAUCUUGAAAGCCUUCGGGCGCCAAAGGAGCAACCUGCGGCCCAUUAGCUUGUUGGUAGGGUAACGGCCUACCAAGGCGAUGAUGGGUAGCUGGUCUGAGAGGAUGAUCAGCCACACUGGAACUGAGACACGGUCCAGACUCCUACGGGAGGCAGCAGUGGGGAAUAUUGCGCAAUGGGCGAAAGCCUGACGCAGCCACGCCGCGUGAGUGAUGAAGGCCUUCGGGUCGGU
Molecule: ribosomal RNA, 376 nt
Filed under: uncultured bacterium
Lineage: Bacteria
Description: bacterial SSU rRNA
Rfam family: Bacterial small subunit ribosomal RNA
Source: RNAcentral